This 492-nucleotide ribosomal RNA is filed under the name uncultured bacterium. RNAcentral's name for it is "partial 16S ribosomal RNA". It matches the Rfam family "Bacterial small subunit ribosomal RNA", at positions 29 to 507 of the family's 1533-position model. The record is from RNAcentral.
AGUGAACGCUGGCGGUAGGCCUAACACAUGCAAGUCGAACGGCAGCACAGUAAGAGCUUGCUCUUACGGGUGGCGAGUGGCGGACGGGUGAGGAAUACAUCGGAAUCUACUUUUUCGUGGGGGAUAACGUAGGGAAACUUACGCUAAUACCGCAUACGACCUACGGGUGAAAGCAGGGGAUCUUCGGACCUUGCGCGAUUGAAUGAGCCGAUGUCGGAUUAGCUAGUUGGCGGGGUAAAGGCCCACCAAGGCGACGAUCCGUAGCUGGUCUGAGAGGAUGAUCAGCCACACUGGAACGGAGACACGGUCCAGACUCCUACGGGAGGCAGCAGUGGGGAAUAUUGGACAAUGGGCGCAAGCCUGAUCCAGCCAUACCGCGUGGGUGAAGAAGGCCUUCGGGUUGUAAAGACCUUUUGUUGGGAAAGAAAAGCAGCAGGUUAAUACCCCGCUGUUCUGACGGUACCCAAAGAAUAAGCACCGGCUAACUUCGUG